Chelonia mydas (Green sea turtle) is the source of this 978-nucleotide long non-coding RNA. RefSeq lists it as uncharacterized. The transcript has 3 exons. The record is from RefSeq and is a predicted model, not a curated record. Lineage: Eukaryota; Metazoa; Chordata; Testudines; Cheloniidae.
UCAAGUGCUUGCCUAGAGCUAAUUUAUCAAAGAAAACAAUUGCUGUGAGGUAUUAGUGGGUAGUGAAGCCUCACUCAACCUUCCCUUUUUAUGUUUUUAUUCAGUGUGAAAACCAAGUGACCAUCGCAGUUGCUGCUUGUCUUUAGGCCAUACAAAUCUUGUUUUCUGUGGCAUUAGCCACAUUGUCUACCAUUGGAGUUAAAUGUCUGGAAGCCAGGAAACAUGCCUCAGAGAAAUGGUUUACAGGAAGUAAGCUCGGAAAUGAAUGGUUUGUAUGGAGAUUCUAGUCUUGUAAGAAAGUUGAUUGAUUCUAUUCAUCCUCCAACACAUGCCGCAGCAAAAGAGUUUCCCCUUAAUUGAGCAAUAUGAUGUAAAUUACAUGGUGAAUGAUUUAAUAAGGGAAGAGAUGUGCAAACCAAGAGCAACAAAAAUCCUUUAAGAAUAGAAGCAUGAUUCUCCUGAAAAUAACAGAAAAUAUGAAAUCACGAGCACAAGCCGCAAUUCACAAAACCCCCAAACCCAUUCAUUCUAUUAAUUAUUUUGGAAAUGGAAAGGUCCAAAAUCUUUUCCCGUGGACAGAAGGAUGUGUUCUCCUUUUCACCCAUCAGUAUGUUGAUGCCAGUGGAAGUUGCAUCCUCAAAUGGAAGGUAACUCUGAUCAGAUAGAAAGUUCAAAAUGUUUGCAAAGCAACCUUUUUGGCUUGUAGUCAGUAAAAUACUAAUAUGUGACCCUCAUCAUUUUCAUUCUCCAUUAAAAACUUCAGGACAUUUGAACAAAGUUAUUUAAAACCAUUUAGAUUUCCUGUAAGCUCAUGGACAAAAUGCAUCAUGUUUACGACACAUUCAAUCUACCUUUGUCAUUAGUUGGUACUGCCUUACCAACAAAAGUCCUUUUUAAAAUACACUCAAUUUAUAUGCAAGACAUGUUGCUUACACUAGGUAACACCUUGUGACAGGGUCAGGCCAGAUGGCUACAGGA